UACGUAGGUGACAAGCGUUGUCCGGAUUUACUGGGCGUAAAGAGCGCGCAGGCGGUCGAUCAAGUCGAGUGUGAAAGCCCCCGGCUCAACUGGGGAGGGUCAUUCGAUACUGAUCGACUCGAAGGCAGGAGAGGGUAGUGGAAUUCCCGGUGUAGUGGUGAAAUGCGUAGAUAUCGGGAGGAACACCAGUGGCGAAGGCGGUUGCCUGGAGCUUUGCUGACGCUGAGGCGCGAAAGCGUGGGGAGCGAUCCGG
Molecule: ribosomal RNA, 253 nt
Filed under: uncultured bacterium
Lineage: Bacteria
Description: partial 16S ribosomal RNA
Rfam family: Bacterial small subunit ribosomal RNA
Source: RNAcentral